UACGGGGGGGGCAAGCGUUGUUCGGAAUUACUGGGCGUAAAGGGCUCGUAGGCGGCCAACUAAGUCAGACGUGAAAUCCCUCAGCUUAACUGGGGAACUGCGUCCGAUACUGGAUGGCUUGAGUUUGGGAGAGGGAUGCGGAAUUCCAGGUGUAGCGGUGAAAUGCGUAGAUAUCUGGAGGAACACCGGUGGCGAAGGCGGCAUCCUGGACCAACACUGACACUGAGACGCGAAAGCGUGGGGAGCGAACAGG
This 253-nucleotide ribosomal RNA is filed under the name uncultured bacterium. RNAcentral's name for it is "partial 16S ribosomal RNA". It matches the Rfam family "Bacterial small subunit ribosomal RNA", at positions 524 to 776 of the family's 1533-position model. The record is from RNAcentral.